Molecule: small nucleolar RNA, 128 nt
Organism: Echinops telfairi (small Madagascar hedgehog)
Lineage: Eukaryota; Metazoa; Chordata; Mammalia; Afrosoricida; Tenrecidae
Product: small nucleolar RNA ACA64
Exons: 1
Source: RefSeq, a predicted model, not a curated record
ACUAACUGAACAUAUCUCUCAGCUUCUCACCUGGCAGUGGGUGAAAUAUAGUGCCUAGAGUCCCCAGGAGGUUCAGUUCUACCUCUUCUGUCUCGACAUGGGUGGAUGAGAUCCAGGCCCCAGUGAGG